CGAUGACAUCCUUACAUUUUUAUGUCUAUAGGAAGACAAGAGACUCACAGAGAAAAAUCCCUCUAGCCAACUAACUGAAAGCACAGUGCCUAAGGCCUGAACUUCCUGCACUAUCUGAUAUGGCAAACCAGGAGGGCCAAUAUUCUACAGGUAAAACAUAUUGCUUUAGUGUGCUGGUGGGAGCUUAAUACUCAACAUAAUAGUCAACCUCCUAUAUCAUGAUAUUCCCAAUGUGGGAAUAUAAAAAGAGUUUUGCUUUUUUAAUGAAGCAAUCUGCAUUUCCUUUUUAAAAAGCUGUUUUGGACCUUUACCUCCAUAUUCCAGUCAUCAAGGAACGACAAUAGUUUCUAGCCGUUAACCUGGUUUGGUGUUACUAUUCCAAAUAGAAACAGAGAAAAGCAUUGACAAUAGAGCCUUCUGGCUUGUCUCUCAUGGAAAACCUGGAUCGCAUACUAGGUGGAAUAAAUAAACAGAUCCGUUGUUUAUUCUUGGUGCAUAAAAUGGAAAUGAAGAAAUAUUUAUUGCUACUCCACCGUAAAUCAUUUAAGACACUGUGCCUUUGUUUAGGCAGCACAGAAGCCUCAUUUAGUGACAUUCAUUCUUUAAAUCUUCAUAUAGAAUUCUUAAUCACUGCUGUUUUCUUCAUCAGAUACGAUGACUUAGAGCAAAUAAUCUAUUUCAUGAAAUAUUUGUGUUGAAGUCUCAGUUUACAACUAGCACAUCUACAGCAGACCUGCCCAAUUUGUGACUGGCCAAGUUGAGCACACCACUUGAGGCAUGUAUUGUGGUUCACCAAGGACUUGAUAAAGUACCUGGUACUCCUGUCUGCCCGGAACUGCAAAAACAAGUGGAUCAGCAAGCAGGGGUGUUUUUAGGUACCCAUUUAUAUGUACAAAUGAACAUUUAGGUCUCUGAUCAAAUUAAGAGGGUGGCUGGUUGUGGUUUCUUUUUUGAAAAGUUUAAAAAUAGAGGGCUAGUUGCAGGAGAUCCCAGGGCCUAGUACCAAAGGUCUGCAGUUCAUGACCAUGGACCACUCUCAUAACAUUGCCCCUGUUGUCAAGCACUUGCUUGGUGGACUGUCUUUGGCUUGGUGUGGCAGGUCACUUGUUGAGGAGUCCUGAUCCACUAGAAGGGAAUUCAUUUGCUCAGGGUGCUCUGAGCCUUCUGAUCCAGUGUGCACACUCUUCAUUUAAACUGUAGAUAAUCACCCAAAGAUACAAUUCCCUGCACCCUUAAUAAACUACAGUUCCCAGGAUUCCUUGGGGGAAGCCUUGUGUUUAAAUGUGCUUUAAAUGAGUAGUGGUGUGCGUGCGUGACCUAAUUCUGGUCUUAAUUUAAUCUUUAAGGCACGCAAAUGCACAGCUGCUUGUGCAACUGCAAACUAGAAGUGCAAACAAACUGUUGUUUGUUUUGUACUUAAUUCACAGAGCUUCAUAGAUCACAGCUUCUAUCCCUUGUCUUUUAUGGGUCUAACUCUCUUUGUUUAUCCUGAUGUCCACCCUUUCCAUGCAAGUGGAUUAAUUAAGCUUUACAUAUCUAGUUAAACUUCAUGUUUACAUUUUUUUAUUCUGAAGCAGAGCAACCAGCAUUGGGAAACAGGGAACUAAGCACAAAUUGAAGGCGAUGUGUAGGUGCCGCCGACCAGCAUCAUACACCUCAUGCCAAGUAAGCUUUGAUAAAAGAAGUGUGUGAUGUGACACAUUGUCACAUCCACAUUUUGACUCCCUGCAGGUGACAGCAAAUGAGUUGGAGUGAAAACAUGGGAAUGAUGAGCAAGAUGGCUGACGUCUCUACCAAACAUUAAUCAGAAGAAAUACAGUAGAGGAGGGGCCUGGUCCGGAAUGUAUCCCCCCUUACCUUUACUUAGUUGUCAGACUAAACAGGUCUGACACACUCCUGCAUGAGCGUCAAAGGCAAAAAGCAGCAGCUUGCUUUUUCUUAAAUAUUUGAAUAUGUCUAAAUGAAUCUGCAGUUAUGUUUCACUAA
Molecule: non-coding RNA, 1986 nt
Organism: Podarcis lilfordi (Lilford's wall lizard)
Lineage: Eukaryota; Metazoa; Chordata; Lepidosauria; Squamata; Lacertidae
Source: the annotation of a GenBank genome assembly